AGGUAGCCUAGUGGUUAGAGUGUAGAGGAGGCAGGUAGCCUAGUGGUUAGAGUGUAGAGGAGGCAGGUAGCCUAGUGGUUAGAGUGUAGAGGAGGCAGGUAGCCUAGUGGUUAGAGUGUAGAGGAGGCAGGUAGCCUAGUGGUUAGAGUGUAGAGGAGGCAGGUAGCCUAGUGGUUAGAGUGUAGAGGAGGUAGGUAGCCUAGUGGUUAGAGUGUAGAGGAGGCAGGUAGCCUAGUGGUUAGAGUGUAGAGGAGGUAGGUAGCCUAGUGGUUAGAGUGUAGAGGAGGCAGGUAGCCUAGUGGUUAGAGUGUAGAGGAGGCAGGUAGCCUAGUGGUUAGAGUGUAGAGGAGGUAGGUAGCCUAGUGGUUAGAGUGUAGAGGAGGCAGGUAGCCUAGUGGUUAGAGUGUAGAGGAGGUAGGUAGCCUAGUGGUUAGAGUGUAGAGGUGGCAGGUAGCCUAGUGGUUAGAGUGUAGAGGAGGUAGGUAGCCUAGUGGUUAGAGUGUAGAGGAGGCAGGUAGCCUAGUGGUUAGAGUGUAGAGGAGGUAGGUAGCCUAGUGGUUAGAGUGUAGAGGAGGCAGGUAGCCUAGUGGUUAGAGUGUAGAGGAGGUAGGUAGCCUAGUGGUUAGAGUGUAGAGGAGGCAGGUAGCCUAGUGGUUAGAGUGUAGAGGAGGCAGGUAGCCUAGUGGUUAGAGUGUAGAGGCGGCAGGGUAGCCUAGUGGUUAGAGUGUAGAGGCGGCAGGGUAGCCUAGUGGUUAGAGUGUAGAGGAGGUAGGUAGCCUAGUGGUUAGAGUGUAGAGGAGGCAGGUAGCCUAGUGGUUAGAGUGUAGAGGCGGCAGGUAGCCUAGUGGUUAGAGUGUAGAGGAGGCAGGUAGCCUAGUGGUUAGAGUGUAGAGGCGGCAGGUAGCCUAGUGGUUAGAGUGUAGAGGAGGUAGGUAGCCUAGUGGUUAGAGUGUAGAGGCGGCAGGUAGCCUAGUGGUUACAGUGUAGAGGCGGCAGGGUAGCCUAGUGGUUAGAGUGUAGAGGAGGUAGGUAGCCUAGUGGUUAGAGUGUAGAGGAGGUAGGUAGCCUAGUGGUUAGAGUGUAGAGGAGGCAGGUAGCCUAGUGGUUAGAGUGUAGAGGAGGCAGGUAGCCUAGUGGUUAGAGUGUAGAGGCGGCAGGUAGCCUAGUGGUUAGAGUGUAGAGGAGGUAGGUAGCCUAGUGGUUAGAGUGUAGAGGCGGCAGGUAGCCUAGUGGUUAGAGUGUAGAGGAGGCAGGUAGCCUAGUGGUUAGAGUGUAGAGGCGGCAGGUAGCCUAGUGGUUAGAGUGUAGAGGAGGUAGGUAGCCUAGUGGUUAGAGUGUAGAGGCGGCAGGGUAGCCUAGUGGUUAGAGUGUAGAGGCGGCAGGGUAGCCUAGUGGUUAGAGUGUAGAGGAGGUAGGUAGCCUAGUGGUUAGAGUGUAGAGGCGGCAGGUAGCCUAGUGGUUAGAGUGUAGAGGAGGCAGGUAGCCUAGUGGUUAGAGUGUAGAGGAGGUAGGUAGCCUAGUGGUUAGAGUGUAGAGGAGGCAGGUAGCCUAGUGGUUAGAGUGUAGAGGCGGCAGGUAGCCUAGUGGUUAGAGUGUAGAGGAGGCAGGUAGCCUAGUGGUUAGAGUGUAGAGGAGGUAGGUAGCCUAGUGGUUAGAGUGUAGAGGCGGCAGGGUAGCCUAGUGGUUAGAGUGUAGAGGAGGUAGGUAGCCUAGUGGUUAGAGUGUAGAGGAGGUAGGUAGCCUAGUGGUUAGAGUGUAGAGGAGGUAGGUAGCCUAGUGGUUAGAGUGUAGAGGCGGCAGGGUAGCCUAGUGGUUAGAGUGUAGAGGAGGUAGGUAGCCUAGUGGUUAGAGUGUAGAGGAGGCAGGGUAGCCUAGUGGUUAGAGUGUAGAGGAGGUAGGUAGCCUAGUGGUUAGAGUGUAGAGGAGGUAGGUAGCCUAGUGGUUAGAGUGUAGAGGAGGUAGGUAGCCUAGUGGUUAGAGUGUAGAGGAGGUAGGUAGCCUAGUGGUUAGAGUGUAGAGGAGGUAGGUAGCCUAGUGGUUAGAGUGUAGAGGAGGCAGGGUAGCCUAGUGGUUAGAGUGUAGAGGAGGUAGGUAGCCUAGUGGUUAGAGUGUAGAGGAGGUAGGUAGCCUAGUGGUUAGAGUGUAGAGGAGGUAGGUAGCCUAGUGGUUAGAGUGUAGAGGAGGUAGGUAGCCUAGUGGUUAGAGUGUAGAGGAGGUAGGUAGCCUAGUGGUUAGAGUGUAGAGGCGGCAGGGUAGCCUAGUGGUUAGAGUGUAGAGGAGGUAGGUAGCCUAGUGGUUAGAGUGUAGAGGCGGCAGGGUAGCCUAGUGGUUAGAGUGUAGAGGAGGUAGGUAGCCUAGUGGUUAGAGUGUAGAGGAGGUAGGUAGCCUAGUGGUUAGAGUGUAGAGGCGGCAGGGUAGCCUAGUGGUUAGAGUGUAGAGGCGGCAGGGUAGCCUAGUGGUUAGAGCGUUGGACUAGUAACCGAAAGGUUGCAAGUUCAAAUCCCCGAGCUGACAAGGUACAAAAUCUGUCGUUCUGCCCCUGAACAGGCAGUUAAC
Molecule: long non-coding RNA, 2556 nt
Organism: Oncorhynchus keta (chum salmon)
Lineage: Eukaryota; Metazoa; Chordata; Actinopteri; Salmoniformes; Salmonidae
Exons: 6
Source: RefSeq, a predicted model, not a curated record